GAGUUUGAUCCUGGCUCAGAAUGAACGCUGGCGGCAUGCCUAACACAUGCAAGUCGAACGAAGGCUUCGGCCUUAGUGGCGCACGGGUGCGUAACGCGUGGGAAUCUGCCCUUGGGUUCGGAAUAACAGUUAGAAAUGACUGCUAAUACCGGAUGAUGUCGUAAGACCAAAGAUUUAUCGCCCAAGGAUGAGCCCGCGUAGGAUUAGCUAGUUGGC
This 216-nucleotide ribosomal RNA is filed under the name uncultured microorganism. RNAcentral describes it as "partial 16S ribosomal RNA". It matches the Rfam family "Bacterial small subunit ribosomal RNA", at positions 9 to 253 of the family's 1533-position model. The record is from RNAcentral.